This 468-nucleotide ribosomal RNA is filed under the name uncultured bacterium. RNAcentral's name for it is "partial 16S ribosomal RNA". It matches the Rfam family "Bacterial small subunit ribosomal RNA", at positions 28 to 507 of the family's 1533-position model. The record is from RNAcentral.
GACGAACGCUGGCGGCGUGCUUAACACAUGCAAGUCGAACGGAAAGGCCCUGCUUUUGUGGGGUGCUCGAGUGGCGAACGGGUGAGUAACACGUGAGUAACCUGCCCUUGACUUUGGGAUAACUUCAGGAAACUGGGGCUCAUACCGGAUAGGAGCUCCUGCUGCAUGGUGGGGGUUGGAAAGUUUCGGCGGUUGGGGAUGGACUCGCGGCUUAUCAGCUUGUUGGUGGGGUAGUGGCUUACCAAGGCUUUGACGGGUAGCCGGCCUGAGAGGGUGGCCGGCCACAUUGGGACUGAGAUACGGCCCAGACUCCUACGGGAGGCAGCAGGGGAGAAUAUUGCACAGUGGGCGGAAGCCUGAUGCAGCAACGCCGCGUGCGGGAUGACGGCCUUCGGGUUGUAAACCGCUUUCGCCUGUGACGAAGCGUGAGUGACGGUAAUGGGUAAAGAAGCACCGGCUAACUACGUG